Molecule: transfer RNA, 168 nt
Filed under: Nanobdellota archaeon
Lineage: Archaea; Nanobdellati; Nanobdellota
Description: tRNA-Arg
Source: RNAcentral
GAGCCCGUUGCCUAGCCUGGACACGAGAAAGCCUCGUUUUAUGGGUGUUUCCGUAGGGAACAUAAGGCGCCAGCCUUCUAAGCUGGAGAUCGUGGGUUCGAAAAUAAGUGGCUUUGCCCCUUAUCAACCCCCUACCCUGUGGGGAAAACGAAAGUCCCACCGGGCUCG